AACAGCGACAAUAUCAACAUACUGGUUAUACAAUGUACCAGCAGGAUAGAACAGCGGCGUCUGGUGUUGGAGGAGUAUGGGGUUUUGGACAGUCCAGAGAUGGAGCUGAGCCCAGAGGACCCAUCUACAGGUGGUUCAUCGCCCCUUGAUUCAUCAUCUCCCUGGCCUGGUUCAUCACCUCUCCGGCCCCUCUCCCCAACGCCCAGGCCCUUCUUACCAACACCCAACCCACAAUCCAGGCGCACCCGUGCUCUCUGCCAUGCAACUCCAUCAACCUCCACCCCAUCUCCCCGAUCCAGCUCCAAUGCCCAGAAGAGGAAGACAGCUGAGGAUCCUUUGGACACUGACAUUAUGCAGCGGGUGCAUGACUUAAAAAAAACGGCAGCAGGAGUUACAGAAACAGCAGCAGUGUCCAGCAAAGGCCGUCUACGAUGUCAUGGUACCAUGGAUGAUGUCUAUUCCUGCUGAUCAACGUCUCCCGUUUGUCUCACCCCUAAACCUGUUGUGUGCUUUUUUUCUUAUUCAUACGUUAUGGUGGCGAGUAACUUACUUGGGGGGGUUGCAUGUUUUUUGUACUUAUUUCCUCAUUCAUAUGUUACUGGUUUUUACUUAGUUUUUUCUCUUAUUUUCGACUUUCAUCACACUUUUCACCUGUGUAUUGCAUUGUACUAUUUUCCUCUUGUGAUAGUAAAUAAAUAUCUAAAAGGAC
RNAcentral lists this long non-coding RNA (709 nucleotides) under Salmo salar (Atlantic salmon). Its description in RNAcentral is "lncRNA (ENSSSAG00000078287.2)". The record is from RNAcentral. Lineage: Eukaryota; Metazoa; Chordata; Actinopteri; Salmoniformes; Salmonidae.